CAGUCGCCGCGGGAAUACGUAGGUGGCAAGCGUUGUCCGGAAUUAUUGGGCGUAAAGGGCUCCCAGGCGGUUUCUUAAGUCUGAUGUGAAAGCCCCCGGCUCAACCGGGGAGGGUCAUUGGAAACUGGGAAACUUGAGUGCAGAAGAGGAGAGUGGAAUUCCGCGUGUAGCGGUGAAAUGCGUAGAGAUGUGGAGGAACACCAGUGGCGAAGGCGACUCUCUGGUCUGUAACUGACGCUGAGGAGCGAAAGCGUGGGGAGCGAACAGGAUUAGAUACCCCCGUAGUCCCUGUCUCUUAUAC
This 301-nucleotide ribosomal RNA is filed under the name uncultured bacterium. RNAcentral's name for it is "partial 16S ribosomal RNA". It matches the Rfam family "Bacterial small subunit ribosomal RNA", at positions 509 to 807 of the family's 1533-position model. The record is from RNAcentral.